UGCUACUUUUGCCGGCGAGCGGCGGACGGGUGAGUAAUGCCUGGGAAAUUGCCCAGUCGAGGGGGAUAACAGUUGGAAACGACUGCUAAUACCGCAUACGCCCUACGGGGGAAAGCAGGGGACCUUCGGGCCUUGCGCGAUUGGAUAUGCCCAGGUGGGAUUAGCUAGUUGGUGAGGUAAUGGCUCACCAAGGCGACGAUCCCUAGCUGGUCUGAGAGGAUGAUCAGCCACACUGGAACUGAGACACGGUCCAGACUCCUACGGGAGGCAGCAGUGGGGAAUAUUGCACAAUGGGGGAAACCCUGAUGCAGCCAUGCCGCGUGUGUGAAGAAGGCCUUCGGGUUGUAAAGCACUUUCAGCGAGGAGGAAAGGUCGUUGGCUAAUAUCUGCUGGCUGUGACGUUACUCGCAGAAGAAGCACCGGCUAACUCCGUGCCAGCAG
This 441-nucleotide ribosomal RNA is filed under the name uncultured Aeromonas sp. Its description in RNAcentral is "bacterial SSU rRNA". It matches the Rfam family "Bacterial small subunit ribosomal RNA", at positions 77 to 514 of the family's 1533-position model. The record is from RNAcentral. Lineage: Bacteria; Pseudomonadati; Pseudomonadota; Gammaproteobacteria; Aeromonadales; Aeromonadaceae.